This is a long non-coding RNA of Onychostoma macrolepis, 1612 nucleotides long. RefSeq lists it as uncharacterized. NCBI's taxonomy places the organism in Eukaryota, Metazoa, Chordata, Actinopteri, Cypriniformes, Cyprinidae. The transcript is spliced from 3 exons. The record is from RefSeq and is a predicted model, not a curated record.
GAAACACGACAAAUAUUUUAUAAUGGGCAAUCAUAGUCAGUAAACAUUUCAUUUAUUAUGUGACAGACGUGAUGUUUUGAGUCACAUGAUGUUCUGGUAAUGUUAAAAAUCCAAGAUGGCAGGUCCACAUGGAAACAUUGUACAAUGGAAAGGUGUGGAAAUCAUAUCUCCAAAUGCUUUUAGCUCGCUUAGCAGAAGAUAUGUUGGGAUAAUUAUAUCUGCUGCCAGCCUGCCAUAAGGAUUGUUCAGUGACUGUCCUGAAAUAUAUGGACAUUGUUUGGAAGUUUGCUGGAUGGUUAACUACUUAUGGGACAAACAAGGGAGAGCAGAUGAAACGGGACCUUGGCAGACACUGUGGGGGAAAAAAGCUGCUUAAAAAGUCUUCAAAAAUAUUCCUUUAAAAGAUUAGCUUGACAUGAGAUCUUCUGUUGACCAUCCCGGAUGUUGGUGUCUAUGGCGACGGCGUUGGAUUCUAAAGGCUUGCUGGCAGCGCUCAGACACUGAAUCUUCCCACAUUUAGCAUUCCUAAACAGAAGACCAACAGAACGUCUUUGAUUGGCCCAAAUGAUGAUGACUUAAAAUACUGGUCAAAAAUGUGGAAUAAUUAAGAUUUAUUAAUGCUAAUUUCUGAUGCUCACCAAGGCUACAUUUAUUGAAUCAAAAAUACAUUAAAAUCAGUACUAUUGUGAAAUAUUAUUAAAAUUUUUAAAAUAACUUUUAUAUUUGAAUAAGGGGUCGACCUGUUAUCGGCGCCAAUAUUAAGCAUUUCUAUGAUUAUCGGUAUCGGUCAUUUUCAAAACCGAUUUGCCAGUUACAUAAUUUAAAAGAAUUUAAAAAAAGGUUUUGUCAGAGCCCUUGUUAUUCUUAAUUUUGACAUUAAUUAAUUAACAUUUUUACACCAGACAUAUAUAUCGGUUAUUAGUCUACUUGAUCUGUAAUAAUCAGGCCUGAAAAACAAAUAUCGGUCGACUAAUUUAAAUGUUUUAAUAUGCAAUUCAUUCCUGUGAUGGCAAACCUGAAUUUUCAGCAGUCUCCAAUGUCACAUGAUCUUCAAGAAAUAAUUUGCUGGUUUGGUGCUCAAAUAUUAAUAAUAGUUCCUCCCAUCAAUGUUGAAUACAGCUUUUGCUUUUUAAAUGUUCUAUUUUGAUAAAUAGAACAUUUAAAAGAACAGCAUUUAAUGUGUCCUUAAUUUCUUUUUUUAAUGCAUAACAGUUUCUUUUUCUUUCCUUUAAAAAACUCAUUUGAAUGAGUAAACUGUACAUUAUCACAGUUACCACAAUAAUUUUAAGCAGCAAAAACUUAUUUUCAACAUUGAUAAUGAUAAGAAAUGUUUCUUGAGCACCAAAUAUUAGUAUGAUUUCUGAAGGAUCAUGUAACACUAAAGACUGGAGUAAAGAUGCUGAAAAUUCAGCUUUUGCAACACAGGAAUAAAUUGCAUUUUAAAAUUUAUUACAAUUGGAAACUGUUUUUGAAAUAUUUCAUAAUAUUACUGUUUUUAGUGAAUUUUUGAUCAAAUAAAUGUAGCUUUGUUGAGCAUAAGAGACUUCUUUCAAGAACAUAAAAAAAAUCGUAAUUAUUCCAAACAUUUGAUCGGUAGUCUAAGUAAGUGCGU